RNAcentral lists this ribosomal RNA (465 nucleotides) under uncultured bacterium. RNAcentral's name for it is "partial 16S ribosomal RNA". It matches the Rfam family "Bacterial small subunit ribosomal RNA", at positions 338 to 795 of the family's 1533-position model. The record is from RNAcentral.
CCUACGGGAGGCAGCUGUAGGGAAUCUUCCACAAUGGGCGAAAGCCUGAUGGAGCAACGCCGCGUGGGUGAAGAAGGUCUUCGGAUCGUAAAACCCUGUUGUUAGAGAAGAAAGUGCGUGAGAGUAACUGUUCACGUUUCGACGGUAUCUAACCAGAAAGCCACGGCUAACUACGUGCCAGCAGCAGCGGUAAUACGUAGGUGGCAAGAGUUAUCCGGAUUUAUUGGGAGUAAAGGGAACGCAGGCGGUCUGUUAAGUCUGAUGUGAAAGCCUUCGGCUUAACCGGGGUAGUGCAUUGGAAACUGGGAGACGUGAGUGCAGAAGAGGUGAGUGGAACUCCAGGUGUAGCGGUGAAAUGCGUAGAUAUAUGGAAGAACACCGGUGGCGAAAGCGGCUCUCUGGUCUGUAACUGACGCUGAGGUUCGAAAGCGUGGGUAGCAAACAGGAUUAGAUACCCGAGUAGUC